GGCCACUACCAUCCAAAAUUUUGCUGCUGUGAUAAACCCCGUAACAGAGGCAGCACCAUUUACAUCCGAGAAUAUGCACCCUCUUUUACAAUCAUAUGAAAAUCACUCUCUAUUCUAUAUUAUAGAAAUGAUCUAUUUUUCCGUGAGAAAGAGAGCACUAUUUUUUAAUAGUACCGGUGUAUCUAAUAAUUAGCCUUUACAU
Molecule: unclassified non-coding RNA, 202 nt
Filed under: Hevea brasiliensis (rubber tree)
Lineage: Eukaryota; Viridiplantae; Streptophyta; Magnoliopsida; Malpighiales; Euphorbiaceae
Source: RNAcentral